CACUCUAAGGAGACUGCCGUAGAUAAACCGGAGGAAGUGGGGAUGAACGUCAAAUCAUCACUGCCCUUAUGGCCUGGGCUACAACGUAAUACAAUGGCCGGUACAGACGGACGCAAAGCCGCGAGGUGGAGCAAAUCCUAAAAAGCCGGUCUCAGUUCGGAUUGCAGGCUGCAAUUCGCCUGCAUGAAGUCGGAAUCGCUAGUAAUCGCAGGUCAGCAUACUGCGGUGAAUACGUUCCCGGGCCUU
This 246-nucleotide ribosomal RNA is filed under the name uncultured Bacillus sp. RNAcentral describes it as "partial 16S ribosomal RNA". It matches the Rfam family "Bacterial small subunit ribosomal RNA", at positions 1136 to 1382 of the family's 1533-position model. The record is from RNAcentral. Lineage: Bacteria; Bacillati; Bacillota; Bacilli; Caryophanales; Bacillaceae.